This 70-nucleotide transfer RNA is filed under the name Sergia lucens. RNAcentral describes it as "tRNA-Gln". Lineage: Eukaryota; Metazoa; Arthropoda; Malacostraca; Decapoda; Sergestidae. The record is from RNAcentral. RNAcentral also lists the same sequence under 1 other name.
UAUAUUCUGGUGUAAAGAGCACAUAAAGUUUUGAUCUUUAAAGGAAUGGUGUCAAUUCCAUUGAGUAUAA